This 22-nucleotide microRNA is filed under the name Homo sapiens (human). RNAcentral describes it as "hsa-miR-548ai". Its record names the gene hsa-miR-548ai. Lineage: Eukaryota; Metazoa; Chordata; Mammalia; Primates; Hominidae. The record is from miRBase by way of RNAcentral.
AAAGGUAAUUGCAGUUUUUCCC